RNAcentral lists this ribosomal RNA (2904 nucleotides) under Shigella sonnei. RNAcentral's name for it is "23S ribosomal RNA". It matches the Rfam family "Bacterial large subunit ribosomal RNA". Lineage: Bacteria; Pseudomonadati; Pseudomonadota; Gammaproteobacteria; Enterobacterales; Enterobacteriaceae. The record is from RNAcentral.
GGUUAAGCGACUAAGCGUACACGGUGGAUGCCCUGGCAGUCAGAGGCGAUGAAGGACGUGCUAAUCUGCGAUAAGCGUCGGUAAGGUGAUAUGAACCGUUAUAACCGGCGAUUUCCGAAUGGGGAAACCCAGUGUGAUUCGUCACACUAUCAUUAACUGAAUCCAUAGGUUAAUGAGGCGAACCGGGGGAACUGAAACAUCUAAGUACCCCGAGGAAAAGAAAUCAACCGAGAUUCCCCCAGUAGCGGCGAGCGGACGGGGAGCAGCCCAGAGCCUGAAUCAGUGUGUGUGUUAGUGGAAGCGUCUGGAAAGGCGUGCGAUACAGGGUGACAGCCCCGUACACAAAAAUGCACAUAUUGUGAGCUUGAUGAGUAGGGCGGGACACGUGGUAUCCUGUCUGAAUAUGGGGGGACCAUCCUCCAAGGCUAAAUACUCCUGACUGACCGAUAGUGAACCAGUACCGUGAGGGAAAGGCGAAAAGAACCCCGGCGAGGGGAGUGAAAAAGAACCUGAAACCGUGUACGUACAAGCAGUGGGAGCACGCUUAGGCGUGUGACUGCGUACCUUUUGUAUAAUGGGUCAGCGACUUAUAUUCUGUAGCAAGGUUAACCGAAUAGGGGAGCCGAAGGGAAACCGAGUCUUAACUGGGCGUUAAGUUGCAGGGUAUAGACCCGAAACCCGGUGAUCUAGCCAUGGGCAGGUUGAAGGUUGGGUAACACUAACUGGAGGACCGAACCGACUAAUGUUGAAAAAUUAGCGGAUGACUUGUGGCUGGGGGUGAAAGGCCAAUCAAACCGGGAGAUAGCUGGUUCUCCCCGAAAGCUAUUUAGGUAGCGCCUCGUGAAUUCAUCUCCGGGGGUAGAGCACUGUUUCGGCAAGGGGGUCAUCCCGACUUACCAACCCGAUGCAAACUGCGAAUACCGGAGAAUGUUAUCACGGGAGACACACGGCGGGUGCUAACGUCCGUCGUGAAGAGGGAAACAACCCAGACCGCCAGCUAAGGUCCCAAAGUCAUGGUUAAGUGGGAAACGAUGUGGGAAGGCCCAGACAGCCAGGAUGUUGGCUUAGAAGCAGCCAUCAUUUAAAGAAAGCGUAAUAGCUCACUGGUCGAGUCGGCCUGCGCGGAAGAUGUAACGGGGCUAAACCAUGCACCGAAGCUGCGGCAGCGACGCUUAUGCGUUGUUGGGUAGGGGAGCGUUCUGUAAGCCUGCGAAGGUGUGCUGUGAGGCAUGCUGGAGGUAUCAGAAGUGCGAAUGCUGACAUAAGUAACGAUAAAGCGGGUGAAAAGCCCGCUCGCCGGAAGACCAAGGGUUCCUGUCCAACGUUAAUCGGGGCAGGGUGAGUCGACCCCUAAGGCGAGGCCGAAAGGCGUAGUCGAUGGGAAACAGGUUAAUAUUCCUGUACUUGGUGUUACUGCGAAGGGGGGACGGAGAAGGCUAUGUUGGCCGGGCGACGGUUGUCCCGGUUUAAGCGUGUAGGCUGGUUUUCCAGGCAAAUCCGGAAAAUCAAGGCUGAGGCGUGAUGACGAGGCACUACGGUGCUGAAGCAACAAAUGCCCUGCUUCCAGGAAAAGCCUCUAAGCAUCAGGUAACAUCAAAUCGUACCCCAAACCGACACAGGUGGUCAGGUAGAGAAUACCAAGGCGCUUGAGAGAACUCGGGUGAAGGAACUAGGCAAAAUGGUGCCGUAACUUCGGGAGAAGGCACGCUGAUAUGUAGGUGAAGUCCCUUGCGGAUGGAGCUGAAAUCAGUCGAAGAUACCAGCUGGCUGCAACUGUUUAUUAAAAACACAGCACUGUGCAAACACGAAAGUGGACGUAUACGGUGUGACGCCUGCCCGGUGCCGGAAGGUUAAUUGAUGGGGUCAGCGCAAGCGAAGCUCUUGAUCGAAGCCCCGGUAAACGGCGGCCGUAACUAUAACGGUCCUAAGGUAGCGAAAUUCCUUGUCGGGUAAGUUCCGACCUGCACGAAUGGCGUAAUGAUGGCCAGGCUGUCUCCACCCGAGACUCAGUGAAAUUGAACUCGCUGUGAAGAUGCAGUGUACCCGCGGCAAGACGGAAAGACCCCGUGAACCUUUACUAUAGCUUGACACUGAACAUUGAGCCUUGAUGUGUAGGAUAGGUGGGAGGCUUUGAAGUGUGGACGCCAGUCUGCAUGGAGCCGGCCUUGAAAUACCACCCUUUAAUGUUUGAUGUUCUAACGUGGACCCGUGAUCCGGGUUGCGGACAGUGUCUGGUGGGUAGUUUGACUGGGGCGGUCUCCUCCUAAAGAGUAACGGAGGAGCACGAAGGUUGGCUAAUCCUGGUCGGACAUCAGGAGGUUAGUGCAAUGGCAUAAGCCAGCUUGACUGCGAGCGUGACGGCGCGAGCAGGUGCGAAAGCAGGUCAUAGUGAUCCGGUGGUUCUGAAUGGAAGGGCCAUCGCUCAACGGAUAAAAGGUACUCCGGGGAUAACAGGCUGAUACCGCCCAAGAGUUCAUAUCGACGGCGGUGUUUGGCACCUCGAUGUCGGCUCAUCACAUCCUGGGGCUGAAGUAGGUCCCAAGGGUAUGGCUGUUCGCCAUUUAAAGUGGUACGCGAGCUGGGUUUAGAACGUCGUGAGACAGUUCGGUCCCUAUCUGCCGUGGGCGCUGGAGAACUGAGGGGGGCUGCUCCUAGUACGAGAGGACCGGAGUGGACGCAUCACUGGUGUUCGGGUUGUCAUGCCAAUGGCACUGCCCGGUAGCUAAAUGCGGAAGAGAUAAGUGCUGAAAGCAUCUAAGCACGAAACUUGCCCCGAGAUGAGUUCUCCCUGACCCUUUAAGGGUCCUGAAGGAACGUUGAAGACGACGACGUUGAUAGGCCGGGUGUGUAAGCGCAGCGAUGCGUUGAGCUAACCGGUACUAAUGAACCGUGAGGCUUAACCUU